GGAUGGGCCCGCGGCGCAUUAGCUAGUUGGUGGGGUAAAGGCUUACCAAGGCAAUGAUGCGUAGCCGAACUGAGAGGUUGAUCGGCCACAUUGGGACUGAGACACGGCCCAAACUCCUACGGGAGGCAGCAGUAGGGAAUCUUCCACAAUGGGCGAAAGCCUGAUGGAGCAACGCCGCGUGGGUGAAGAAGGUCUUCGGAUCGUAAAACCCUGUUGUUAGAGAAGAAAGUGCGUGAGAGUAACUGUUCACGUUUCGACGGUAUCUAACCAGAAAGCCACGGCUAACUACGUGCCAGCAGCCGCGGUAAUACGUAGGUGGCAAGCGUUAUCCGGAUUUAUUGGGCGUAAAGGGAACGCAGGCGGUCUUUUAAGUCUGAUGUGAAAGCCUUCGGCUUAACCGGAGUAGUGCAUUGGAAACUGGGAGACUUGAGUGCAGAAGAGGAGAGUGGAACUCCAUGUGUAGCGGUGAAAUGCGUAGAUAUAUGGAAGAACACCAGUGGCGAAAGCGGCUCUCUGGUCUGUAACUGACGCUGAGGUUCGAAAGCGUGGGUAGCAAACAGGAUUAGAUACCCUGGUAGUCCACGCCGUAAACGAUGAAUGCUAAGUGUUGGAGGGUUUCCGCCCUUCA
This 628-nucleotide ribosomal RNA is filed under the name uncultured bacterium. RNAcentral describes it as "bacterial SSU rRNA". It matches the Rfam family "Bacterial small subunit ribosomal RNA", at positions 223 to 842 of the family's 1533-position model. The record is from RNAcentral.